ACCACCACCAUCACCACCACCACUACCACCACCACCAUCACCACUACCAUCACAUAACCAUUCUACUACCGUCGCUGCUAUUAUCGUUAAUUGGACGGUUGCGCGACUGAAUCGAGAUGGAGAGAAUGAAGCUGCUUUUCCUCUGGCCAAUCGAGCUGAUCUCUUCGAUAAAUAGGCGGACUCGCUGACGACGAUUCAGACACUUACUCCUCGGUGUAGUGAAAUUCUAUAGCAAUCUCAAUACCGUUGCGAUUAGAAUUAACUUGACUAUGUGUUACGAUGAAAGCGUGGUCAAUUAUCGACUUUACUUAACUAACUCUGUGCUCAGAAAACUUGAUACGUUGACGCCAGACUUUUAUUGAGCUUUGUUAGCAGCUGCCAGCUCUUUCUUUUAGUAGAGUACAUUCGGAAAAUGACUAAUAAACGAUACAUUCUGCGACUAAUGUAAAAGCUCUCUCGGCAAAAAUUCAGUUGUUCAUUCAAUCUCUAGUCAAGACUGACUUUUUUGUAAUUGAUACAUUCAAUGAUGAUGAAAUUCCCACGUAAACUUUCACUCAGGUCAGUCGAUACAGCUCUAGCCAUUGGUAACCAUCUUCUUAGAUGCGCCUCACACGCAUCUUGCAGUUUCAUUUAAUUCAUGCCCUUCCCUCAUUCUCAUAAACAGGCUGAUGAAUAUCCCUUGUGGCCUUGAGCCACUGAUAGAAGUCAAGACGUUAGCGAAUCCACUUACCUACUUACUGAAUAAAUCCUCUCGUUUAGCCAAGAAAAGUGACCUCGUGCUAUUAGAUUAUUGCUACUAUUGUCAUGAUUACAUUUCAUCUUGUUGCUCUGUCCACUAUCCACUACUAUUACUAUUUACUAUUGCUACCAUUACUACUAUUAGGUACUACGAUUACUAUUAUUAUAAUGAUUAUCCUUCAUUAUUUUAUUUUAUUUUAUUAUCAUUAUUGAUAUUAUUAUUAUGUUGAUCAUCUUUAUCGUCAUUAUCAUAGUCGUUGGCCCAUGAUUGUCAUCGUUUUUCCAUUGCCGUUAUCAUCAUCAUUAUUCCCAUUAUCCUCACCCGCGUUUAUUAAUUACGUUGUUAUCGAUGUCAUCAAUGUAUUGACACGUCGCUGUUGACUGAGAACGGUCGUCGGCCGUGACGGCGGCCAAGACGUUUCAGUGUCGGGAAACCGGAUCACAUCCGCAUUACAUAGGAGUAAGAAGGAAUUGACGUACCGACGUUGAGAGAACUUGUUUGUGCCUACGACUCUCUUCUUGUAACACGGCGACGCUUUUUAAUACACCGCUGUGUCGUGCGAUGGAUACACGUUGGCGACUCGUCGUGCGAUCGCAUGUAUAUCUGUGAAUUAUAACGAAUUGAAGCUACCGCAGAUCUCAUUGUAUUCACAGCCCUGCAGGAUGAGCGAGCGUAGCGUGUUCCCGAAUCUGUUGCGUAAUCGAGACUUCGAUUGUCGCCAAGUCUGAUUAUAAAUCCUCUUGAAAGGCAUGAAACUGAAAAGAACGGGAAAACGACGAUCGCGGGUGCCACUGCCCGGCCCUCGGGGCAAUGGAAUUGAGACGUCGGAUAUCUGUAAAUAAGCGCUCUCAUUUUGCCCUCAUCGCGUCCACGGAUCAUAAAGUCAUGCGCUUCACGAAAACGCGAGAGUAUAUAGCGCUGUGUAUAAAGUGAAAGUUCGUGCUUUCCCGAUUGUACUAGGUAUUUUUCUUUUUUAUUUUGAUCUUUUUUUUUAAUCCACCGUCCAAGUGAAUGAUUGAUUCUGAUGCAUUGGAAUAUUUAUAUUAGAGGUAACUUGUAGCAUGUACGAGCCUUCCGUAUAGUAAAUGACUUUUAUAUAACUUUAAUCUUGAGUUACAUAUUAUAGAGGAUGUGAAAGAGCAGUUUUAUGGCAUAUUAAUUGAAUAAACGCUCUCGAGAUAAUACUGAGCAUCGUGUCCGUAACUAAAAGUCCGUACUAAAGUCUAAACUCAUCCCAGUGCGUUAAUUGUCGAAAUGGUUUCUUACACUGCCUAUGUUUUUCACGAGAAUCAAUGGAUGCACGAUAGUUCAUAGUAAUCACUUGUACGGAUCGUAGCCAAUAUAUAUUAAGGAAUGUUUCGCUGUGAGUUCCUUCAAUGAAACGCGAAAUGUCUCUUUGAAUACCGUGAUCACGAUUAACGUUCGUGUUAUUAUUUAUAACAAUUGCCCAUCCGCCCGCCCGCUGCGUAAUUUUUUAAAUACGGUGACGUAAAUCGCGCACAGUUUCUGUGCUACAUUUUUUCAAAGCAAUACCAUGGGUUUCGGUUUCGUGCCUUCCAAAGCGAAAUUUCAUGUGAGAAAGUGAUCAAUCACGAUGAACAGUUGAAACAAUUACAUUUUACAUAACAUAUCGCUGAAGUAAGGUUUUUUCUGUCUGUAGACUCUAUAGCCGUAUAUAAUGAAAAUUUAGUAACGCGUAAAUGCGAGGAAAUUAUGUGACAUAGCCGAAAUUAUAUGACAUUGCAGUCAAUCUCGUGUUCCACCACCAGUGUGUAUCGAUAAAAAAAAGAAAAGGGAAAAGAAAAAAAACGAUAAAAGGAACAGAAAAGAGAAGCGUUUCUUUCGAUAUGAAUUAUCCUCUGCGAAAAGAGUGCGACGUUCGCGUAUAGCUCUUGUUUCAUGAUCCAGGCGCGUUUUUUUAUUAUUAAAGAGGACAUUGACGAGCAAACGAGAAGGAGAUCUCGCAGGGAGGAUUGAUCCGCACAAUUUCUUUUGGGAGGUAACGAGCCUACGGGCCCGAGUUCACCACUGCGGACAUACACAUUUACACAUUGCACACACAUAUACACAUACACUUUCCGACUUAAUAUCCCAUUCUUCGAGUGAUUUCCAACUGCGUUUGUGUGUUCCCCUCUUACGAUCGAGACUGGCCGUAUUGCUCUUCGUAGGAAGACAGGUGCCAUUUUAUCAUGAAGAAGGAGAAGAAGAGAGGAAGGAGAGAGUCGGGUGUGUCCACGCCAAGAUUCUAUUUCGAUGUUCUUGAUAUGAAAACCUACGUCAUCGGAAUAAAUAACGAAAGCUGGAACCGAAUGUACGUGAUCUUCAUCGAGACGGAUCGAUCUCGAAUGCGAAACAGAAGGGAUGAAUCAUCGAGUACGGUGUACAUGCAAUAACGUAAAGAUUCGCCGUAACAAACUCUCUCUGCUGCGAACACAUUUAAUCCGCUAUUUUUCAUGAUGCAACGAGGAGAGCCUUAUGUCGCGAGGCGUUUCUAGGGAUUUGUACAAAGUGGCAUGCGAUUUUUCUGCUAAUGGCUCGCGACGAAAAAUUUAAGCGAUCAAGAGACAAACUAGACGAAAAUAUGUACGAGAACCCGGAGAGCAUGGAAAGCGAGGAUCUCAUCAGCCGCAUUGAUCAGACCAGCAAGAACACACGGUAAACGGCGAGUCGAGCGAGGAGUAGGAGCGCGGAGGUGACAAAUACUAAGGAGCUUGCGUUACGUCCAAUGGUCCACACCCACACCCACGCCAAAUCUUGGCCGAUCCCGACUUCGUCAUCGCUCCCGAGAUGUAUAUGCACAUACGUACCGUACUAUGUGUAAUACGCCCCGUACACCACGUUGUACCCACGUUGAAUAUCUUAAAUACCCAGCGAGCGCGUCCGACAACAGGAAGCCCAUGUACUUACGGAGCUAUCUCGCGUACUCGAACCGUACGUGCUCUCGUGCGAUCAAAGGCAAACGGGAGAGACGGGGGAGAGGGAGAGAGCCGCUCCGUCAAACGUUUUGAAAAGUGAUACGCUUAAAAAUCAUAGAGAUCAUAAUCCACUCUAUAGAUUUCAUUCUCUCCCUCUCUUCCCCCCUCUCUUUCUCUCUCUCUCUCUCUCUCUCUUUCUCGUUAUCUGUCUCGUGUUAUCUUCCCAUUGUUGACCGAGCAUCGUUCCUUACUUUUGUAAGCUCGUCAGCAUCGCGUCGGCGAGCGAACGAUCGAAAUCAGUUAGUCGUACGUUUAUAUCCAGCGGACGCGGAACGAGAGUGAGCGAUCCAACGAAUGCCUGAUGCUGGAUGAUAUCCGCGUGUGUGCAGAAAGAGAGCGAGUCGAGAAGAGACAUUAUUUCUCUGUAGCUUCGCGCAAGUCGUAUCCGUCUGUAUACUUGUACAUAAGAUUCGCCGGACCGCGGUCGUCGCGCACGUGAAUUAUUUGUUCGCGCGCGUACGCGAAUUGUCCCUCGCGAGUAGAAUUUGUUUGCGCGAAUAAAUCCAAUAGCAAGCGGUUACAUAUAACUUUAAUUCCCGAUCGGGCGAGGAGAGCACGUGCGUAUAUGCGUGCGUGUGCACGCGAGAGAUCCACGUAGACGCAAUGCGGAAAGAGAGAGAGAGAGAGAGAGAGAGAGAGAGAGAGAGAGAAAGUUUCCAAUAUUUAUAUCAUUGUCCUGCCACCGGGGAAUCUGUGCUGGCGUAAUUAUAAAAUAAAUUCCGCUGUGCAACCAUGUUGCGCGAGGACGUUUAGCCCGUAGUUUUUUAGCCGAUUUUUCAAAGCGCGCGCGCGCAAAGUCACGAUUUUUAAUAUAACACGACUGACUGCUGGUUAAGUAUGGUUGUGAGCAAAAGUCCUGGUCUCUUCGGACAUUGUAGACACACACAUUACAUACUUACACACAUUACAUACAUACAUGCAUACAGAAAACAUCUUUCCAGUUCCCUUAGAUACGUACCCUGCACGAAAAGAAGAGCGAUUGUUGCAUAAGUGCUUAGGAUGUGGGUAUUAAGGCUUGUAAUUCGAAAACGACCAUCUCCUUUGCUCGAGAGAACUUUUUCUUCUUUUUUUUUUGUAUAUUUGUAAAUUGGUACGAGUAGAAAGAUCGGGCCAGGACCGAUAUAUCCUCGGUGUCUUUCAUUCCACGGCUCGUCGGUCGAAGAGCGGCGUAUACAGCGAUAAAUGUGGUCGUGCGUAUCUGUGAAAAAAGUGAGGCUGCGUAAUUAAUUAUCUUGUUGCGUAAAGCGAGAAAGAGAGGAAGAGAUACUUAUUGGAUGAUCGCGUGUUUUUCCCUCGUGUGUUGUGAUCGUUUAGCUGCAUACGUCGAUUCGGCGAUGUUGGAGAGGUGUCGAUGGGAGACUCCUGAGAUUAAGUUAAUCAGCACUAUAGUUUCUCGCGUAGUGAGGCUUAUGUGUAUACAUUUUUUGACUUACUAUAUGUUCGUACUGUUUUAAUGGACGAAUUGUUGAACAAUAAAAUCGCUGAUUGCUACGAUAACAAUAAA
This is a long non-coding RNA of Vollenhovia emeryi, 5218 nucleotides long. RefSeq lists it as uncharacterized. The transcript has 2 exons. The record is from RefSeq and is a predicted model, not a curated record. Lineage: Eukaryota; Metazoa; Arthropoda; Insecta; Hymenoptera; Formicidae.